This 1103-nucleotide long non-coding RNA is filed under the name Felis catus (domestic cat). Its description in RNAcentral is "lncRNA (ENSFCAG00000046236.2)". The record is from RNAcentral. Lineage: Eukaryota; Metazoa; Chordata; Mammalia; Carnivora; Felidae.
GGCUGCUCUCCAAUUCUGGAACAGGCUCGAACAAGCUCUCCAUUUGGGAGCAGCUGGGAGCUACCCUCAUUUUUUGCUAGGAGUUAGUCUCCCUCGUGUGCAUACCACGGGAAUGCCUUCAUGCCUGCUACUGGUUUUGGUCUGGGGCCAAUCAGCUCUGCUUACCCACCUCUCUGCUUGAGCAUUACUGGGCUACGUGGCUUCCAGGAGUUGUCACCAGCCCAACAAGGCAGGUAGGGCCGGAAAGCAUCCCCGACAGUGGCUGUGGUUGUGGUUUAGCACCUUGCCUGCGUGUGCGCAAACUGAGCUCUAGGACUGGCAAACCUUCUCAUGUAAGGAUGUGAGUCAAGGAGAUCUGCAUCCCUGCAAGUUCUUUGGUGCUUCCUCGGCUUGGUUCUGCAGAUGAACAAAACUGCUGGUUGGGAUUACUUCUUGGACACUGCAGACAUUGUUUCCAUCAGAUAGAUAACCCAGAGAGGACACCACAAAUCACAGAUCCAACUGAGAAUAAAACUUGGUGUUGCAACUUUGAGCCACAUAUAAUGAAAAGAAAACCUAAAAGGGAAAGGCGGAAGAGGGGAAAAUAUAGGAGAAGACAGGAUGGAAGGAGAAGAGGAAGAGGAAAUUUCAUAUAUUUUUCCCUUGAAACUAAGAAGCAUUCAUUUCUGGAAUUUUCAUAUAAAAGUAAAUCAAGAUUCAUGUUUAUGUUGAAGAAAAGAUGUAUAUACCUUUAAUUUAUAAUUUGUCAAUCAUAUGUUACACCUGUUUAUCGGCCCUGAAAAUCUUUCCAACUAUUUUAUAUUUCCAAAAAAUAUCCUAAACGGUUAGGAUUCAUGCCAUUAAGGUAAUUUCCCAGGAAAUAAGUUUAAUAGAUAUGUAUUAUAUAUAGUCUACAAUAUAUAUCUAUAUUAACUAUAUCUAUCUUUACCAAUUUUACUGUUAGCAUAUUUAAUGUGAUUUUUAAAUUAAAAAAUUUGGUGUCCAAGGUGUGUUAAAAUCAUUUGGUUACCUAUUAAAACAAACGACCCACAUGUUUAAGUUAGAAAGUUAACCCACUUAUAUAAUUUAAUAAAAAUGCGUUUAGUCUAAAUAUAUACCUGCCA